UGGGGAAUUUUGGACAAUGGGCGAAAGCCUGAUCCAGCAAUGCCGCGUGUGUGAAGAAGGCCUUCGGGUUGUAAAGCACUUUUGUCCGGAAAGAAAUCCUUGGCUCUAAUACAGUCGGGGGAUGACGGUACCGGAAGAAUAAGCACCGGCUAACUACGUGCCAGCAGCCGCGGUAAUACGUAGGGUGCAAGCGUUAAUCGGAAUUACUGGGCGUAAAGCGUGCGCAGGCGGUUUGCUAAGACCGAUGUGAAAUCCCGGGCUCAACCUGGGAACUGCAUUGGUGACUGGCAGGCUAGAGUAUGGCAGAGGGGGGUAGAAUUCCACGUGUAGCAGUGAAAUGCGUAGAGAUGUGGAGGAAUACCGAUGGCGAAGGCAGCCCCCUGGGCCAAGUACUGACGCUCAUGCACGAAAGCGUGGGGAGCAAACAGGAUUAGAUACCCCUGGUAGUCCAUGCCCUAAACGAUGUCAACUAGUUGUUGGGGAUUCAUUUCCUUAGUAACGUAGCUAACGCGUGAAGUUGACCGCCUGGGGGAGUACGGUCGCAAGAUUAAAACUUAAAGGAAUUGACGGGGUCAUAGCUGUUUCCU
RNAcentral lists this ribosomal RNA (587 nucleotides) under uncultured bacterium. Its description in RNAcentral is "partial 16S ribosomal RNA". It matches the Rfam family "Bacterial small subunit ribosomal RNA", at positions 355 to 1375 of the family's 1533-position model. The record is from RNAcentral.